This is a long non-coding RNA of Astatotilapia calliptera (eastern happy), 1229 nucleotides long. The record is from Ensembl. Lineage: Eukaryota; Metazoa; Chordata; Actinopteri; Cichliformes; Cichlidae.
GCUGCUAUGAUUGGCCGCUGUAUUCAGCGCUUCAGCCUCCUUGAAUGAGAAAUAGGGGUAACCAAGCAACUUCAGUGCUGGGGAGAAGAAGAUAAAAAAAGCAAAAAGAUGACAGGGCUUUACGGGAUUUUCACAAUGAUGGAAGAAUUUUGAAGCUGUUAACAGAAGAAAGAAAAAAAGAGGAAGAGGCAAUGUGAUUUCACCUUGAGUGUCCGGCAAAUGGAAUUAACAAAUGGAUUUUCUUAAACGCGCUUCCUCCCUCUCUCUCCCUCUCUCGCUCGUUGAGGGGGGGGAAUAGAGCGCUCAAAUGAAGGAGACACAGAUGUGGAUUAAAACGCACAAAUGGGACACUUCAGAAAAGCAUCCACUGAGAAAAGUGCUCAGUGCAAGUGACUGUGAUGGGCUGUCAAACCACAUCUAAAGUACUCUACCAAAGAAUAAUAUCCACUCCUGACCUACUCUGAAGAAAAAUAUUUCAUUCGAUCAAUGUCGCAGUCUCCCCCGCAGGGGAAUUACUCUUGAACAAUAGGUGAACCCUAAGAAAAGAGCAACACUGGACCAUGUGAUACUUGACCUUCAAAGAAAGAACUCAGGUGCACUCCAGAAAAUGUCAAAUCGGAUCUGAAGCAGCUCUCAAGAGGAUCGCCCAGCUCAUAAUUCAAGCACUUUUUCAUGUUUUGUUUUAUCAUUACUCAAACACCAUGGGCCAAAAGUGACAGAACGUAGUUAUUUUGGCUGGAUCUUCAUCUAAUGAGGAGUACCAGACAUCUCACCAUGGAUUUGAAGGAGAUUUUCUUCACCAAAGAGCAACAGUGAGAAACAUCAGAGUGGGGGGGGGGAUUGGACACUGGAGGCUUGGAGGAUUAGCUUGGAGUGCUGCUAACCCAUGGUGGAUCUGCUGUGAGUGGGGAAAGGGACUCAGCGGUGGAGGAUGUCAGCAGAGGCCGAACUCCAGCCGGGUGUCAAAACCAGCCAGCGAAAGGAGUCCAGGAGGAUCAAAGGUAUGUUCUUACCUUUGCAACACCAGAGCGUCUGUAACAUAGAUGCUUGUAAUAUAUCAGGCUUUAUUAUGUUUGUUUGUCAAAUGAGAUAAAGGUCUGAGAUAUAACGUUAAGGGAAAAGUACUCAAAAGACACGAAACGUGACAUGACGAAAUGGGAACCUGAAAGCUUUCUUAUCUUCAUCAGGUGGUGAACGUAACUUUUCACCUUUUGGUGAAACAUCUUGGA